CCUACGGGGGGCUGCAGUGGGGGAUAUUGCACAAUGGAGGAAACUAUGAUGCGGCAACGCCGCGUGAGGGAAGAAGGUCUUCGGAUUGUAAACCUCUGUCCUCAGGGACGAUAAUGACGGUACCUAAGGAGGAUGAUCCGGCUAACUACGUGCCAGCAGCCGCGGUAGUACGGAGGGAGCAAGCGUUGUUCGGAUUUAAUGGGUGUAAAGGGUGCGUAGGCGGCCCAGUAAGUCAGGUGUGAAAACAAUGAGCUUAACUCAUAGAUUGCACUUGAAACUGUCGGGCUUGAGUGAAGUAGAGGCAGGCGGAAUUCCCUGUGUAGCGGUGAAAUGCGUAGAGAUCGGGAAGAACACCAGUGGAGAAGGCGGCCUGCUGGGCUUUAACUGACGCUGAGGCACGAAAGCGUGGGUAGCAAACAUGAUUAGAUACCCCUGUAGUC
This 440-nucleotide ribosomal RNA is filed under the name uncultured bacterium. RNAcentral's name for it is "bacterial SSU rRNA". It matches the Rfam family "Bacterial small subunit ribosomal RNA", at positions 338 to 795 of the family's 1533-position model. The record is from RNAcentral.